Molecule: ribosomal RNA, 556 nt
Filed under: uncultured bacterium
Lineage: Bacteria
Description: bacterial SSU rRNA
Rfam family: Bacterial small subunit ribosomal RNA
Source: RNAcentral
ACGGUACCGGCAUAAGAAGCACCGGCUAACUACGUGCCAGCAGCCGCGGUAAUACGUAGGGUGCGAGCGUUAAUCGGAAUUACUGGGCGUAAAGCGUGCGCAGGCGGUUUUGUAAGACAGGCGUGAAAUCCCCGGGCUCAACCUGGGAACUGCGCUUGUGACUGCAAGGCUAGAGUACGGCAGAGGGGGGUGGAAUUCCACGUGUAGCAGUGAAAUGCGUAGAGAUGUGGAGGAACACCAAUGGCGAAGGCAGCCCCCUGGGUCGAUACUGACGCUCAUGCACGAAAGCGUGGGUAGCAAACAGGAUUAGAUACCCUGGUAGUCCACGCCCUAAACGAUGUCAACUAGGUGUUGGGUGGGUAAAACCAUUUAGUACCGUAGCUAACGCGUGAAGUUGACCGCCUGGGGAGUACGGCCGCAAGGUUAAAACUCAAAGGAAUUGACGGGGACCCGCACAAGCGGUGGAUGAUGUGGAUUAAUUCGAUGCAACGCGAAAAACCUUACCUACCCUUGACAUGUCAGAAACUUGGGCAGAGAUGCCUUUGGUGCCCGAAAG